This 406-nucleotide ribosomal RNA is filed under the name uncultured bacterium. RNAcentral describes it as "partial 16S ribosomal RNA". It matches the Rfam family "Bacterial small subunit ribosomal RNA", at positions 30 to 526 of the family's 1533-position model. The record is from RNAcentral.
AUUGAACGCUGGCGGCAGGCUUAACACAUGCAAGUCGAGCGAGCGGCGGAGGGGUGAGGAAUGUCUGGGAAACUGCCUGAUGGAGGGGGAUAACUACUGGAAACGGUAGCUAAUAACGCAUACCAUCGGAUGUGUACUGAUGGGAUUAGCUAGCGGGUGGGGUAAAGUCUGACAUAGGCGACGAUCCCUAGCUGGUCUGAGAGGAUGACGAGCCCCACUGGAACGGAUACACGGCCCAGACUCCUACGGGAGGCAGCAGUGGGGAAUAUGGCACAAUGGGCGCAAGCCUGAUGCAGCCAUGCCGCGUGUGUGACGAAGGCAUGCGGGUUGUAAAGCACUUUUAUCGAGGAGGCGGUACCCGCAGAAGAAGCACCGGCUAACUCCGUGCCAGUAGCCGCGGUAAUUC